RNAcentral lists this ribosomal RNA (467 nucleotides) under uncultured bacterium. RNAcentral's name for it is "bacterial SSU rRNA". It matches the Rfam family "Bacterial small subunit ribosomal RNA", at positions 330 to 793 of the family's 1533-position model. The record is from RNAcentral.
UCCAGACUCCUACGGGAGGCAGCAGUGAGGAAUAUUGGUCAAUGGGCUAAGGCCUGAACCAGCCAAGUCGCGUGAGGGAAGACGGUCCUAUGGAUUGUAAACCUCUUUUGUCGGGGAGCAACGAGGCCACGUGUGGCCGAAGUGAGAGUACCCGAAGAAAAAGCAUCGGCUAACUCCGUGCCAGCAGCCGCGGUAAUACGGAGGAUGCGAGCGUUAUCCGGAUUUAUUGGGUUUAAAGGGUGCGUAGGUGGCAUAAUAAGUAGCUAGUGAAAUCUGGUGGCUCAACCAUUCAGACUAUUAGCUAAACUGUUAAGCUCGAGACCGUUAGGGGUAACUGGAAUUUCUAGUGUAGGAGUGAAAUCCGUAGAUAUUAGAAGGAACACCAAUAGCGUAGGCAGGUUACUGGGACGGUUCUGACACUAAGGCACGAAAGCGUAGGGAGCAAACGGGAUUAGAUACCCGGGUAA